AAUGGGAAACCCGGCGCGUUUUUUUCUCUCUCCUUCCUCCCCCGCGUCCGAGCUCGCCGGUUAGCCUGCAAAUUCUUCUCCGGCCAAUUUCUUCCUCCUCCGGCCACCAAUCUUCACCAAACUUCUUCCAUUGGCUUCGUAUGGUCCUUGCGCACCUGUAUGCGGUGACCUUGCACGGCAGCGCCUCCUGUAUCGGCGGUGGUGAGCUCGUUCCAAUUUGAGUUCGAUUUUGGUCAACGCCGGUUUUCUCCUAGUUCCGGCCACAAAAACUUCCGAUCCUUGGCUCCAUGAACUCCUCUCAACCUGCUGAUCAUCAUACUAGGAGGAUUGCACCUAGAGUGACCGGUUUCACGUUCGUCAGAGCUCGUGGGUUCCCCUUGAUGUUCUUAACAACUCUAUAGAAGGAAUCGAGGCCUGAAAUUGAAUUUUUUACGUCGAAAAUCGAGCUCGCCGGUUUCUGGAAAAUUUCCGGCCACUUCAUACUGUUCAAGGUGAUUGACGGUCUUCCUUGGUGAGCGGUUGUGGCGUGUUUUGUAAAAUAAGAAGACGCAGCUGGAUUAGAGCGGGAAGUCUUGCAGGUUAGGAGAAUCAGGGCGGUGAUCGUGCGGGUUAGAGUAAUUGUUGUAGUUUUACAAUGAUUGUAAUAGUGAGUUAUUCAAAAAUUCGGGGCGUGACACCUGUCGAGACCUGCCUAGACACCUUCCGAGCCCUGCACACCCCUGUGCCUACCCCUAUCGACAUCUGCCGAAAGCUUUGCAUAGCCCCUGACGACACCUGUCGAGACCUGCGCACCCCUGUGCCUGCAUCUGCCAACAGCUGCCUAGCACUUGCCGAGCAUCUGCCUGCCAGCCCUGCACAGCCUCCGUACAUCCCUGCACAGCCCCUGCAGCAACCCUGCCUAGCUCUGGCCGCCAACUAAAGGCCACCAGUUUCCGGCCACUUUUCCUGCGACCUCCGGCAACCUUUUUCCAGCCACCUCCGUCAACUUUUUCGGUCAAGAAUUCCGGCAUCUUUUCAAGGAUGAGUAACCUGAACAAGUUGAACUUUGUUCCACUGGAGACAACUGGCGCAGG
Long non-coding RNA from Rosa chinensis, 1073 nucleotides. RefSeq lists it as uncharacterized. NCBI's taxonomy places the organism in Eukaryota, Viridiplantae, Streptophyta, Magnoliopsida, Rosales, Rosaceae. The transcript has 6 exons. The record is from RefSeq and is a predicted model, not a curated record.